This is a long non-coding RNA of Solea solea (common sole), 699 nucleotides long. RefSeq lists it as uncharacterized. NCBI's taxonomy places the organism in Eukaryota, Metazoa, Chordata, Actinopteri, Pleuronectiformes, Soleidae. The transcript has 3 exons. The record is from RefSeq and is a predicted model, not a curated record.
UAACAUCUUUGUUUCCCACAGAUCUGCACAAACAUCACACAGAAAUCAUUUUUAAAUAGUUAUUCGAAUGAAAAUGAGAAUAAUUAUGCAAAAAAUACCAUUCCAUCUCAUAUGGCAAUCACAAUUUCAGUAAUAAUGGCAAUCCAAUAUUUAUUCCAAAUUGUUCACCCCUACACAGUAGUGCAAAAAUGUUUAAUUCAACCAUUAAACUUGACAUUAUUUAUUGCAUAGACAAAUCGGUUACAACCUACAAUAGAAAGGCUCACUCUAAAUGCCUGUUAAUGUGCUGUUGCAGUGUGGAGAAUGGUGCCUGCAAGAUGUCAAUCAUACCACACUCCCCUCCCCUCCCCCAUACGCCAAAAAAAUGGAGAUGGGAUAACACCAUUCAUGUCAUUCACAGUUGAGUGCAUGCAUCUACAGAGGAGAUGGAGCACUCACUCCAGAAAAACUGUGAGAAAGAAAGUUAUGUACAACAUAGAUAUUUAAUGGAUUGAUGAAACCAACACCCACCCAACCAACAUGGACUUCCACCAACCUGCCACAAAAUUUAAACAGAACAAACACAGUCUUCCUUGAUCUAAUCUUCUUUGGUAAAAGACAACAAUUAUCUGCAUACCUGAGUGAGGCUGUGAGGAGACAUAAUAAUGAAUGGAUUAAUACUGAGGACAUCCAAACUAUGAAGGAACACAUGGAAUUAUG